UGGGUAACCUGCCUCAAAGAGGGGAAUAGCCUCCCGAAAGGGAGAUUAAUACCGCAUAAUAUGUUUAAGUCGCAUGACUUUAACAUCAAAGGAUUUUCUUUUAGAAAUUCCACUUUGAGAUGGACCCGCGGUGCAUUAGCUAGUUGGUGAGGUAACGGCUCACCAAGGCAACGAUGCGUAGCCGACCUGAGAGGGUGAUCGGCCACAUUGGGACUGAGACACGGCCCAGACUCCGUAGGGAGG
RNAcentral lists this ribosomal RNA (243 nucleotides) under uncultured bacterium. RNAcentral describes it as "partial 16S ribosomal RNA". It matches the Rfam family "Bacterial small subunit ribosomal RNA", at positions 118 to 348 of the family's 1533-position model. The record is from RNAcentral.